This is a long non-coding RNA of Zea mays, 1101 nucleotides long. RefSeq lists it as uncharacterized. The transcript is spliced from 2 exons. NCBI's taxonomy places the organism in Eukaryota, Viridiplantae, Streptophyta, Magnoliopsida, Poales, Poaceae. The record is from RefSeq and is a predicted model, not a curated record.
UUUUAUUCAUCUACCCCCCUAGCCACCACCUCCUUUUUUUCCCUGUCCCUUUCUUCCUCACGGCAGCAGCCCGCGCUCCUCCUCCCACACGGCAGCGCGCAGGGAGCUCCCUCUCCUCCCAUGGCGUCCUGCCCUUCUCCCCCUUGACUCCAACUUCCUCGACGCCCCCUUCUCCUUCUCCCUCGCGCAGCAGCACCCGGCGCCCCCUUUUCCUCCUCCCUGGUUCCCACGGCUGCCAGCAGGUCCUUCUCCCAUGGUGCUCGGCGCCCCUGCAGCAGGGAGCUCGGCUCUUCCCCUCCCAGGGCGCCACCUUUUCCCUCGGCGCCUCCCCCCAGCGAGACCUCCCAUGGCCGACCUCCACUUUCCCUGUCCAUGGCUGUUGUUCCAUGCGCCCUACUUUUUUUCUCUCCCAUAGAAAGCAGCAGGAGCAAUGCCGCCCGGGUCUAGGCCCCUGCUACUCCUCUCUUCCCCACAAAACAGCAGCCGCAGCGAGCUCGCUGUCGUCCAUGGCGCCCCCCUGCAAUCUUCCCCCUUGGCUAUUUGACGGAAUGCCCGUGGGAAAUAUUGUGUUGUGCGCAGCAGCCCCGACAUCUCCACGCUCUGUCUGCUCGCUGUUUUGUGAAGCCAGUGGACAGCACGCCGUGAUGCCCGUCGGGUGUUUGCUGUUUUUAUGCAGCCCCAACGUCGUCGUCGUUCACCCUCGGUGAGACCACGACGAUCCUUAUUCGAUUCCGCAUCGGCGUUGUUUUCCAGUGAUUAAUUGUGUAUGUGUGCUGUUUUGUUUUGUUUUGUUUUGUGGAGGAGAGGAAGCCCGUGUUUUGCGUGAAGGAGAAGGCAAGCCGCCCAACGCUCGUCGAUGUUCGGAGCGAUGCACAAAUUGGAAUCGACAUCAUUCUCACAAACACCGAUUGAGUUUAUUUAUGGACCGAGAGAUGAUGAUCGUGCAAGUGAUGUGGUGCCAACCACAAGAUAUAGUUGGUGGACGACCUAAGGAAGGAUGGACAUACCCAGUGGCUGCUCGCCAAGCGAGUAUCCCACAGCAAACACUAUCUAUGUGUUGAAUUCCAAGCAAGCAUCGAUUUUAUGCAUAACCGUUAAAUA